GAAUUGCGAUAAGUAAUGUGAAUUGCAGAAUUCAGUGAAUCAUCGAAUCUUUGAACGCAGGAAUUGCGAUAAGUAAUGUGAAUUGCAGAAUUCAGUGAAUCAUCGGAUCUUUGAACGCAGCUUGCGCUCUCUGGUAUUCCGUAGAGUACGUCUGUUUGAGCGUCGCGAACAUCUCCAUAAUUAGUUUUUUUUUAAAUUGAUUGUGGGUUUUGAGGUUGUCAUAUAACAGUGACUCCCUUUAAAAUAAUUAGUGAUGACCUUAUGAAUGGGUUAAUACUGUGUGUUAUAAUGGAUUACAUCCAUCACCAGUCAGAGAGUAAUCUCGCCUUAGUAAUUUGUAGUGAUUGCUUCUAACUGCCAUUGGCAAACAAACUGAUCAAAUCGACCUCAAAUCAGAUGGGAUUACCCGCUGAACUUAA
Molecule: ribosomal RNA, 419 nt
Filed under: uncultured fungus
Lineage: Eukaryota; Fungi
Description: eukaryotic LSU rRNA
Rfam family: 5.8S ribosomal RNA (bases 52-165)
Source: RNAcentral